GAGCCAGCCGCCGAAGGUGGGGUAGAUGACUGGGGUGAAGUCGUAACAAGGUAUCCGUACCGGAAGGUGCGGAUGGAUCACCUCCUUUCUAUGGAGA
RNAcentral lists this ribosomal RNA (97 nucleotides) under Brevibacillus borstelensis. Its description in RNAcentral is "partial 16S ribosomal RNA". It matches the Rfam family "Bacterial small subunit ribosomal RNA", at positions 1446 to 1533 of the family's 1533-position model. The record is from RNAcentral. Lineage: Bacteria; Bacillati; Bacillota; Bacilli; Caryophanales; Paenibacillaceae.